AACGAACGCUGGCGGCAUGCCUAACACAUGCAAGUCGAACGAGACCUUCGGGUCUAGUGGCGCAAGGGUUCUUAACGCGUGGGAACCUGCCCUUAGGUUCGGAAUAACUCCCCGAAAGGGGUGCUAAUACCGGAUAGUGUCUUCAGACCAAAGAUUUAUCGCCUUUGGAUGGGCCCGCGUUGGAUUAGCUAGUUGGUAGGGUAAAAGCCUACCAAGGCGACGAUCCAUAGCUGGUCUGAGAGGAUGAUCAGCCACACUGGGACUGAGACACGGCCCAGACUCCUACGGGAGGCAGCAGUGGGGAAUAUUGGACAAUGGGCGAAAGCCUGAUCCAGCAAUGCCGCGUGAGUGAUGAAGGCCUUAGGGUUGUAAAGCUCUUUUACCCGGGAUGAUAAUGACAGUACCGGGAGAAUAAGCUCCGGCUAACUCCGUG
This 433-nucleotide ribosomal RNA is filed under the name uncultured bacterium. RNAcentral describes it as "partial 16S ribosomal RNA". It matches the Rfam family "Bacterial small subunit ribosomal RNA", at positions 29 to 507 of the family's 1533-position model. The record is from RNAcentral.